AUAACGGAGGAAGAACUCACGGAUGUUACAUACUUUUAAUAUACAAAUACAAACACACAAGUGAACGAGUGGAAUACCAAAGUCGAACUCCUGCUUUUACAUUUGAGAAUAGUAUAUAUAAUAUCAACCUGUCCUAAGGACAUUUUAUAAUGUAUAUGAAUACACACGUUUUAGAGUGACAUAUAUUAAUCAUCCUGACAUAAGGUCAGUCCGUAUGCAUCUCCUGCACUAUAAUACUCAUAAAUCAUGUCAUGUUCCAUAGUGCACAUUAAGAAAUAAAAACCCUAAUAUAUGUAUAUACAUGUUGACUUGUCAUUCUUUUUGAAUAUAGCGUGUAUGACUCAUUAGCCUGUGCAACCAGCUAUACGACAAUUCCUCCAUUACUUAUAAUAAAAAAUAUUAAAAAAAAAAAGUAUUGAACAAGUUAGUAUUUAAUAUCAAACAUUUCAAACUCGUUCUAACAAAUUAUAAAAAUCUAAAAUCAACUUGACAUCUGUUUUACCCUUAAGGUAAUAUCCGGUCAGAGAUGUCCGGUCAGAGAUGUUAUCUAACGACUUUUGUUACUUUAUUUUGAAAAAGAAAAACGCCUUAGGAAACAAUAUUCGGAAAUAUUCGCUCAAUAUAUUUUCUUGUCACUUUUUAAAAAGUUUUCGGAUACUGCAGUCGGGUAAGUUAUAAUUUACUUCAACAAUUUUGUAAUGUUUUUAAUAAGUAAAAAAAAAUAAUUAUUGUUAAAUGUAAAGAUAAUCUUUUCGAAAUUUUUAAUCAGUUAAUAUAACUGUUAUUCUACAAAUAAUAUUAAAGUGACAUAAGGUAAAUAUUAUAGCUUUAUAAUUUUUUCAAUAAAUAUUAAAUUUCCUUUAUUUCAUCAUAAAAAAAAAAAAAAAAAGUUAAUUUCUAGAGAUCAAGAAAACAUAAAAAAACAAACAAAAUAAGUUAACAAUUUUCAAAGAACAAAUUAUUUUAAGAAUAUUAAUUAGAAAAACUUUAAGGUAUAAAAUUUAACAGAAUUAUAUGUAUGAUAAGAGUAGAAAAGAUAUUUAUAUACGAAAAAGUUUAAAAAAUAUUAUAAACAAUUGAUAAUUGAUAAAAUGUCCAGGUGUUUCAUUUCCUGUAAAACGUGUAUUGUGCAUGCGCAUUGAACACUUCCUGUGACAGGUAUAUUUUUUGUAACAGGUACUUGCUGACAUCGGUAUGGCUUGGUCUUCGUGACGUGUCGGGAAUUUCAAAUCGUUGAUAUAUGAACAACAAGACAACUGUCAUAAAAUGCAUAGGAUAAGAAUUCCAAUGAAAGAUGUUCUCUAGUGUACUUCGUUGUGUCCCGCUGUCCAAAAUCGUCGCUUCGACAUCGCUGGUCUUAGGCGCCAAAUCAACCGUUGUCGUAUAACGGAGGAAGAACUCACGGAUGUUACAUACUUUUAAUAUACAAAUACAAACACACAAGUGAACGAGUGGAAUACCAAAGUCGAACUCCUGCUUUUACAUUUGAGAAUAGUAUAUAUAAUAUCAACCUGUCCUAAGGACAUUUUAUAAUGUAUAUGAAUACACACGUUUUAGAGUGACAUAUAUUAAUCAUCCUGACAUAAGGUCAGUCCGUAUGCAUCUCCUGCACUAUAAUACUCAUAAAUCAUGUCAUGUUCCAUAGUGCACAUUAAGAAAUAAAAACCCUAAUAUAUGUAUAUACAUGUUGACUUGUCAUUCUUUUUGAAUAUAGCGUGUAUGACUCAUUAGCCUGUGCAACCAGCUAUA
Ruditapes philippinarum (Manila clam) is the source of this 1749-nucleotide long non-coding RNA. RefSeq lists it as uncharacterized. NCBI's taxonomy places the organism in Eukaryota, Metazoa, Mollusca, Bivalvia, Venerida, Veneridae. The transcript is spliced from 3 exons. The record is from RefSeq and is a predicted model, not a curated record.